This 75-nucleotide transfer RNA is filed under the name Ignavibacteria bacterium. RNAcentral describes it as "tRNA-Glu". It matches the Rfam family "tRNA". Rfam says of the family: Transfer RNA (tRNA) molecules are approximately 80 nucleotides in length. Their secondary structure includes four short double-helical elements and three loops (D, anti-codon, and T loops). The record is from RNAcentral. Lineage: Bacteria; Pseudomonadati; Ignavibacteriota; Ignavibacteria.
GGCCCCAUCGACUAAUGGAUAGGUCACCACCCUUUCACGGUGGCAGUACGGGUUCGAAUCCCGUUGGGGUCACAA